This is a non-coding RNA of Hordeum vulgare subsp. vulgare (domesticated barley), 125 nucleotides long. NCBI's taxonomy places the organism in Eukaryota, Viridiplantae, Streptophyta, Magnoliopsida, Poales, Poaceae. The record is from Rfam.
AAAAUACUCCCUCCGCCCGGAAAUACUUGUCCUAGGAAUGAAUGAAUCUAGACUUAUCUUAAUUAUAGAUACAUCAAAUAUAUCCAAUUUUUAGGACAAAUAUUUUCGGACGGAGGGAGUACUAU